AUCCUUUUGUAGUUCGUAAGAUUGAAGAUUGACUUUUCAUGCACAUGUGUGAGAUGUGCCACCCUCAUCCCAAACCUUGUUAUGACGUCCACACGUUACCCAUCUGACA
Molecule: small nucleolar RNA, 109 nt
Organism: Otolemur garnettii (small-eared galago)
Lineage: Eukaryota; Metazoa; Chordata; Mammalia; Primates; Galagidae
Source: Ensembl